This 30-nucleotide non-coding RNA is filed under the name Rattus norvegicus (Norway rat). The record is from RNAcentral. Lineage: Eukaryota; Metazoa; Chordata; Mammalia; Rodentia; Muridae.
UGGGUUACCAAAAGAAUGACAGACUUGAUA